Molecule: transfer RNA, 77 nt
Filed under: Anguilla anguilla (European eel)
Lineage: Eukaryota; Metazoa; Chordata; Actinopteri; Anguilliformes; Anguillidae
Description: tRNA-OTHER
Source: RNAcentral
GCAGUGUAGCAUAGUGGGUAAGGAACUGGGCUCGUAACCAGAAGGUCAUAGGUUCGAUUCCUGGGUAGGACACUGCC